CCUACGGGAGGCUGCAGUGAGGAAUAUUGGUCAAUGGGCGCGAGCCUGAACCAGCCAAGUAGCGUGAAGGAUGACUGCCCUACGGGUUGUAAACUUCUUUUAUAAAGGAAUAAACUGAGACACGCGUGCCUGUCUGUAUGUACUUUAUGAAUAAGGAUCGGCUAACUCCGUGCCAGCAGCCGCGGUAAUACGGAGGAUCCGAGCGUUAUCCGGAUUUAUUGGGUUUAAAGGGAGCGUAGAUGGGUUGUUAAGUCAGUUGUGAAAGUUUGCGGCUCAACCUUAAAAUUGCAAUUGAUACUGGCAGGCUUGAGUACAGUUGAGGUAGGCGGAAUUCGUGGUGUAGCGGUGAAAUGCUUAGAUAUCACGAAGAACUCCGAUUGCGAAGGCAGCCUACUAAGCUGCCACUGACAUUGAUGCACGAAAGUGUGGGUAUCAAACAGGAUUAGAUACCCUUGUAGUC
Molecule: ribosomal RNA, 460 nt
Filed under: uncultured bacterium
Lineage: Bacteria
Description: partial 16S ribosomal RNA
Rfam family: Bacterial small subunit ribosomal RNA
Source: RNAcentral